UUCUCCCAAUCUCACAUCUCUCUCAGCCGUUCGUCCUUCUCCCAAUCUCACAUCUUUCUCAGCCGGAGCAGCGCCUGACCCACUGCGCUGCCGCCCCACCCACUGCGCCACCGCCCUCGCCCGUGGGACACGUCCGCUCCCAAACCGUGCCUCCGCCGCCUCCCUCUCCCCAUCCUCCCCGUCCUCCCCCUCCGACCCACCCCGCUCUCACCGGAGACGGAGCAGGUCAGAUCCAUCCGCCCAAUCGCUCGCUCGCGCGCCGGGACGACGACGACGACCUCGCCUCCGCGUGCAUGUGCUCGCGAACGGCUGACCAGAUCGAGCGCGCCAGCCUGAUUGCUCCGUCGCGCCGUCGUCGGGGCAGGUGCACGCACGCGUCCAGCGGCGAACCCUAGUUGUACCUCGGAGCGGAGACGGCGCCUUCCCGAACACCUCUGUCUGGCACAAGCCCCUCUGAAGAUAAGAUGUGCGGCAAGUGAGAUAGUUGGUCAGGUGAAAGUCAGCAUUCUUGGUGGAAGCCCUGUUGGUAAAUAACUGCAUAAGUUGCAUAAUAUGCUGCUGAUGAUGAGAACGACGAAAAAAACUAAGUAUGCUAGCUAAGAAGUUGAUGGUAAUGACGACAAAAAGGGUGUGGUGAAUCUUUCUAUAUUGCUACUUACCCGGAUAUGUAAGUGGAGUAGUACUUAAUUAGUGGCUAGGCAAUGUAAUGAACACGUAUGGGUGAGCAGAAAUAAGUACUCCGACUUCAGAUUUCAAUCUUCUGAAGUACUGGUUUUAAA
Long non-coding RNA from Triticum aestivum (bread wheat), 779 nucleotides. RefSeq lists it as uncharacterized. The transcript has 3 exons. The record is from RefSeq and is a predicted model, not a curated record. Lineage: Eukaryota; Viridiplantae; Streptophyta; Magnoliopsida; Poales; Poaceae.